RNAcentral lists this ribosomal RNA (672 nucleotides) under Triticum aestivum (bread wheat). RNAcentral describes it as "partial small subunit ribosomal RNA". The record is from RNAcentral. Lineage: Eukaryota; Viridiplantae; Streptophyta; Magnoliopsida; Poales; Poaceae.
AUGGACAUACUCAGUAGUUUUGGCGGCGCUUCUGGCCUGAAGAUCAACAACGCAAAGUCCAUGGCGACUCCGAUUUGCUGCAACAACGUCGACCUCAACGCAGUGCUUCAGUCGUUCGGAGGGCCAGUUACGCAGUUCCCAAUUAGAUAUUUAGGUCUUCCCCUAACAAUCGGUCGCCUCCAUCUCGUCCAUCUCCAAUUCAUCCUCAAUCGUAUUAGGGCUAGGCUUGCGGGCUCGAAGGGGAAAUUGCUAUCCAUCGCUGGCCGUAGAGUUCUCGUCAGAUGUGUUCUUACUGCCAUGCCAACUUUCGCCCUCACGACGCUGCGCUUCCCUGCUAAGCUCCUCAAGGAAAUUGACAAGUGUAGACGUCGUUUCCUCUGGGGCCAGGACCAGGAGCUCUCUGGCGGCAUCUGGAAGGUAAGUUGGGGGCGGGUCUGCACGCCGAUUGAGCACGGAGGGCUGGGCAUCCUCGACCUGACAAAAUUCAGCCGCGCCCUAAGACUUCGCUGGCUAUGGCACGCUUGGAAAAGCCCGGAGCGGCCGUGGGCGGGGACGGAGCCACCCUGCGACGCCUCCGACCGGGCCCUCUUCUGCGCGGCCACCAAGGUGUUGGAAAUAUGCCCUAGAGGCAAUAAUAAAUUAGUUAUUAUUAUUAUAUUUCCUUGUUCAUGA